AUGACAUCUGGCGUACGAAUCUCAACACAGCGUUCGCCUGACUUCCAGCCCACCACUUCCGUUUCCCACGCUCCACGCCCCACGCCCCCCGUCCUUUCAGCUUCUAAUCUGUUUCAUCUUCCAAAACAAAAAAACCCAUCUCCGUCUCUUCCAUCUCGCCGGCGACGGCGUGCCAAGAUGGCGCAGCCCGACGAGGGCAACGAGGCACUGGAUCGGGAGACCACCUCUCUGCCCACGGCUACUCCAAUCAGGCCUCUUUUGAUUGAUUCAAUUACCUUGCAGCAAUUUCCAACGAUUUCGAUAACUGGCCAGCCCUCGAUGAGCAGCACACCGGCGGCCUCUGCAUCAGAAUCCUCUCUGCCCACAGCUACUCCAACCAUGCAAUUGCCAAGAACUGAGACUAAUGGCCAGCCGAGAAUGAGCAACACACCAGUGAAUAAUCAAGACAUACAAGAUGCAGAUAAUGUUCCAAGAGUUGGGAAGUGCUUUCAGUCUGAAGAAGAGGCGUACCAAUUUUACAAUUCUUAUGCUCAAACCAAGGGAUUUAGCAUUAGGAAGUGCCGCUUGAAGUUUAAGGCAGAUGGGACUUUAAGUUCCAGAUAUUUUGUUUGUAGCAAGGCAGGUGUGAAAAAUGCUAAUCCAACACAUGUGGCCAAGAAAGAACAAGCUAUUUCGAGGACUAAUUGUAUGGCUCGAGUUCAAUUCAGCAUCAAUCAAGAGGGAAUUUGGACUGCUCAGAAAGUUACGCUCGACCACAAUCACCAGCUUGUAAGUCCAGAUAAGAGGCACAUGCUUAGAUCGCAGCGUCAACUCUUAGAUGCCGAUCGCCACAUGAUUAAGCAAAUGAGGACAUCGGGAAUUAGACAAGCCGAAAUUUAUGAUUUUUGCGAGCUUUGGUAUGGUAAAGAUGCUAUACCCUUCUUGCAAAUGGAUUGCAACAAUUAUUUGCGAAGUGAGCGCUCAAAGUAUAUGGAAACCAAAGAUGCACAAACAUUAAUGGAGUAUCUAAAGAACAAGCAAGCUGAGGACCCUUCGUUUUUCUAUGCCAUGCAGUUAGAUGAUGAUGAUGGUACAAUAAUGAACAUCUUUUGGACUGAUGGACAAGCUAUCAUGGACUAUUCUGUCUUUGGAGAUGCCCUUUCCUUUGACACCACAUUUUCAACAAUGAUGCCAUUUAGAGCUCCUGAACGAAUAAAAGGUUCAAAGCAAAAAAAGAUCAAAAGAUGUGCUAGAGGGAGCAAAGAAAGGCAAAAAAAAAGGAAAAGGUACAAACUAUCCGGCAAAGGAGUCCGUGUUUGUGCCGUCCGUAGCUGGCCCUUCCGAAUAUGA
This 1329-nucleotide ribosomal RNA is filed under the name Triticum aestivum (bread wheat). Its description in RNAcentral is "partial small subunit ribosomal RNA". Lineage: Eukaryota; Viridiplantae; Streptophyta; Magnoliopsida; Poales; Poaceae. The record is from RNAcentral.